AUUGAACGCUGGCGGCAGGCCUAACACAUGCAAGUCGAACGAGUGGCGGACGGGUGAGUAAUGUCUGGGAAACUGCCCGAGGGAGGGGGAUAACUAAUGGAAACGGUAGCUAAUACCGCAUACCAUCGGAUGUGCCCAGAGGGGAUUAGCUAGUAGGUGGGGUAACGGCGUACCUAGGCGACGAUCCCUAGCUGGUCUGAGAGGCUGACCAGCAACACUGGAACUGGUACACGGUCCAGACUCCUACGGGAGGCAGCAGUGGGGAAUAUUGCACAAUGGGCGAAAGCCUGAUGCAGCCAUGCCGCGUGUAUGAAGAAGGCCUUCGGGUUGUAAAGUACUUUCAGCGAGGAGGCGUUACUCUCAGAAGAAGCACCGGCUAACUCCGUGCCAGCAGCCGCGGUAAUUC
RNAcentral lists this ribosomal RNA (406 nucleotides) under uncultured bacterium. RNAcentral's name for it is "partial 16S ribosomal RNA". It matches the Rfam family "Bacterial small subunit ribosomal RNA", at positions 30 to 526 of the family's 1533-position model. The record is from RNAcentral.